This 379-nucleotide ribosomal RNA is filed under the name uncultured bacterium. Its description in RNAcentral is "bacterial SSU rRNA". It matches the Rfam family "Bacterial small subunit ribosomal RNA", at positions 93 to 490 of the family's 1533-position model. The record is from RNAcentral.
UAGUGGCGGACGGGUGAGUAACACGUAGGUAACCUACCCUCAGGAGGGGGAUAAUCCUGAGAAAGCGGGACUAAUACCGCAUAGGACCACGAGCUGGGAUGCUUGUGGUGAAAGUGGCGACACACCUGGGGAUGGGCCUGCGGCCUAUCAGGUAGUUGGUGGGGUAAAGGCCCACCAAGCCUAAGACGGGUAGCCGGGCUGAGAGGUUGGACGGCCACACUGGAAUGAGACACGGUCCAGACUCCUACUGGGAGGCAGCAGUGGGGAAUCUUGCGCAAUGGGGGAAACCCUGACGCAGCAACGCCGCGCGGAGGAUGAAGGCCUUCGGGUUGUAAACUCCUUUUCUUGGGGAAAAUGGUGAUGGUACUCAAGGAAUAAG